UACGUAGGCAGCAAGCGUUGUUCGGAGUUACUGGGCGUAAAGAGUAUGUAGGCGGUUGGGUAAGUUUGGUGUGAAAUCUCCCGGCUUAACUGGGAGGGUGCGCCGAAAACUGCCUGGCUCGAGUGCGGGAGAGGGGAGCGGAAUUCCUGGUGUAGCGGUGAAAUGCGUAGAUAUCAGGAGGAACACCUGCGGUGUAGACGGCUCCCUGGACCGUGACUGACGCUGAGAUACGAAAGCGUGGGUAGCAAACAGG
RNAcentral lists this ribosomal RNA (253 nucleotides) under uncultured bacterium. RNAcentral's name for it is "partial 16S ribosomal RNA". It matches the Rfam family "Bacterial small subunit ribosomal RNA", at positions 524 to 776 of the family's 1533-position model. The record is from RNAcentral.